RNAcentral lists this ribosomal RNA (265 nucleotides) under uncultured bacterium. RNAcentral describes it as "partial 16S ribosomal RNA". It matches the Rfam family "Bacterial small subunit ribosomal RNA", at positions 565 to 828 of the family's 1533-position model. The record is from RNAcentral.
GAGCACGUAGGUGGGUUUGUAAGUCGGAUGUGAAAACUCAGGGCUCAACCCGGAGACGCCAUCCGAUACUGCAAUGACUAGAGUCCGGUAGGGGAGCAUGGAAUUCCUGGUGUAGCGGUGGAAUGCGCAGAUAUCAGGAGGAACACCAGUGGCGAAGGCGGUGCUCUGGGCCGGUACUGACGCUGAGGAGCGAAAGCAUGGGGAGCAAACAGGAUUAGAUACCCUGGUAGUCCAUGCCGUAAACGUUGGGCACUAAGUAGAGGGG